ACCUAUGCAAACUCAUAAGUCGAAUAUAAACUGAUUAUUCCAUGGCUAAAAAGGAAAACAACAAACAGACAGACAGACAACAGCGCUUAAAAAUACAAUAUAAGACUGAAUGGUAAGCAUAUCCUGCUCUACGUGUGGCACCCGUCGUGCUGCUCAUGUUAGUAAAAAUCCCGUGAUUUGUCUAAUUCGCUCAGUCACACUAUUGGAAAAAGAAACAACAUUGUAGUUUCGAUAAUUGUAACAAAUCCGUUGUUAUCUGUGAAACAGAUAUUCCAUAAAGUUCAACCAUCUCGUGAUUGCGUCCGUAAAUUUUACAAAAGGGGCGAGUUCCACUUCAAUUAAAACCAUUGGUUUAAAAUCUUCCUUGUGUACAGCGAUCCUCUACAAUGAAAUCAAGAUAUAGGAAAUUCGGUUCCUUGAAUAUCGUAUCAACUGAUGGAUAUAUACUCAGUAUAAAGGCGC
This 462-nucleotide long non-coding RNA is filed under the name Mytilus galloprovincialis (Mediterranean mussel). The record is from RNAcentral. Lineage: Eukaryota; Metazoa; Mollusca; Bivalvia; Mytilida; Mytilidae.